UCUCCGUUGGUGAACCAGCGGAGGGAUCAUUACCGAGUUUACAACUCCCAAACCCAAUGUGAACGUUACCAAACUGUUGCCUCGGCGGGGUCACGCCCCGGGUGCGUCGCAGCCCCGGAACCAGGCGCCCGCCGGAGGAACCAACCAAACCCUUUCUGUAGUCCCCUCGCGGACGUUAUUUCUUACAGCUCUGAGCAAAAAUUCAAAAUGAAUCAAAACUUUCAACAACGGAUCUCUUGGUUCUG
RNAcentral lists this unclassified non-coding RNA (245 nucleotides) under plant metagenome. Its description in RNAcentral is "partial contains small subunit ribosomal RNA, internal transcribed spacer 1, and 5.8S ribosomal RNA". The record is from RNAcentral.